Molecule: non-coding RNA, 770 nt
Organism: Oryzias latipes (Japanese medaka)
Lineage: Eukaryota; Metazoa; Chordata; Actinopteri; Beloniformes; Adrianichthyidae
Source: RefSeq, a predicted model, not a curated record
CUGCAUUCUCCGUCCUUCAGGAGGUACAGCUGGUGCCGCUGAGACUGCAGCUUGGAGGCGCUGGUCACCGCCGCGGUCAGCUGCUGCGCCUGUGGGGACCGCAAACAUGACUCAGCAUGCAGAGUGAGGUCUGCUCCAUUGCCUCCUAUUCUGUUAACCCCCCCAAAAUGAGUUUGUUUGGUUUAAAUACCACAAAUAAAUAAAAAAAUCAGUGAAGAGUACCACCUACAGAGUUUUCUGAGAUGUUUGAAACUCCUGACCCCACUAAAAGGAGCAAAGAUAUUAGCUCUGAAGAACUGACAUCCCAUAAUCCCGCCCCCGUGCACUCACCUUUGCCGAGGCUCUCCCCAACUCAUCGAUGACCGUAGCAAGGUUCGCCUGGAGAUCAGGUCUGGUGGAAGGACAGAGACAAAAAAACAAAACAACAACAAACAAAAACAGCAGAAAAUUCAGAAACGCAGCAAAGAGCUCAAGAUCUGCGCUUCACUCGCCAUUUUUUAUUCAACUGCAGGUGGAUUAAAAAAAAAAUACUGAUUGAUUGAUUAAAAGAUAAGAACUUUAGUCCCUGUCAGACUUGACACGGUUUUGGAUUAACUUCUUUUUAAAACUUUGUGUUUUGAUUUAAAAUCUAAAAUUUUCAACAGAAAAAACCCCCCCAGAAGGUUUGGACACCAAACAUGACCCUUUGUCUGAAUGAUUUCAGAGCAGUUUCUCAGCUCAUAAAACAUGUUGAAAUCCUGGAAAAAAAAAAAAAAAAAAAAAAAAAAAAA